This 428-nucleotide ribosomal RNA is filed under the name uncultured soil bacterium. Its description in RNAcentral is "bacterial SSU rRNA". It matches the Rfam family "Bacterial small subunit ribosomal RNA", at positions 26 to 457 of the family's 1533-position model. The record is from RNAcentral.
AGGAUGAACGCUGGCGGCGUGCUUAGCACAUGCAAGUCGAACGAUGAAGGCUGGAGCUUGCUCUGGCUGGAUUAGUGGCGAACGGGUGAGUAACACGUGAGUAACCUGCCCCAGACUCUGGGAUAAGCGCUGGAAACGGCGUCUAAUACCGGAUACGAGCUUCCACCGCAUGGUGAGGAGCUAGGAAAGAAUUUCGGUCUGGGAUGGACUCGCGGCCUAUCAGCUUGUUGGUGAGGUAAUGGCUCACCAAGGCGGCGACGGGUAGCCGGCCUGAGAGGGUGACCGGCCACACUGGACUGAGACACGGCCAGACUCCUACGGGAGGCAGCAGUGGGGAAUAGUUGCACAAUGGGCGGCAAGCCUGAUGCAGCAACGCCGCGUGAGGACGAAGGCUGGUGUAACUCUUUAGUAGAAGAAGAGAGUGUUAU